AGAGAUCAAGAAUGGAAAAAUCACACAACGAAAAAAAAAAGGAAACAAAUUAAAGAAAUACUUAACGUUCUCUUUUUUUCUCAGUUUACAGCCAAAAAACUACAUCAUCAUUAAAUUCUUCACAAAAAAGGAAUUAAAAAUGCUACCCUUUCAUUUGGUGCUUGAUUUUUGAACCAUAGGAUAAAUUUUCUUCUUCUUCUUCUCAUUAUUAUUGCCUUUGUUUUCUUUUGUUUUUUCGUUCUCCAUCUUUUUCUGAUUCUCCUUUAAACGCUUUUGCUGCACAUAAAGAUGGCCAUAGCUUAGCCCCAUUGAAGACAUAGUUACAAUAAAAUGUACUCUC
RNAcentral lists this long non-coding RNA (340 nucleotides) under Nicotiana benthamiana. RNAcentral describes it as "long non-coding RNA (NBEN_LNC010072)". The record is from RNAcentral. Lineage: Eukaryota; Viridiplantae; Streptophyta; Magnoliopsida; Solanales; Solanaceae.